AUUGAACGCCGGCGGCAGGCCUAACACAUGCCAGGCGAACCGUAACAGGAAACAGCUUGCUGUUUCGCUGACGAGUGGCUGACGGGUGAGUAAUGUCUAGGAAACUGCCUGAUGGAGGGGGAUAACUACUGGAAACGGUAGCUAAUACCGCAUCACGUCGCAAGACCAAAGAGGGGGACCUUCCGGCCUCUUGCCAUCGGACGUGCCAAGAUGGGAUUAGCUUGUAGGUGGGGUAACGGCUCACCUAGGCGACGAUGCCUAGGUGGUCUGAGAGGAUGACCGGCCACACGGGAACUGAGACACGGUCCAGACUCCGAAGGGAGGCAGCAGUGGGGAAUAUUGCACAAUGGGCGCAAGCCUGAUGCAGCCAUGCCGCGUGUAUGAAGAAGGCCUUCGGGUUGUAUAGUACUUUCAGCGGGGAGGAAGGGAGUAAAGUUAAUACCUUUGCUCAUUGACGUUACCCGAAGAAGAAGCACCGGCUAACUCCGUGCCAGCAGCCGCCGUAA
This 506-nucleotide ribosomal RNA is filed under the name uncultured bacterium. RNAcentral's name for it is "partial 16S ribosomal RNA". It matches the Rfam family "Bacterial small subunit ribosomal RNA", at positions 30 to 523 of the family's 1533-position model. The record is from RNAcentral.